AGGCGCGUAGCUCAGUUGGUUAGAGCAUCACCUUGACAUGGUGGGGGUCGUUGGUUCGAAUCCAAUCGCGCCUA
Sutterella parvirubra YIT 11816 is the source of this 74-nucleotide transfer RNA. It matches the Rfam family "tRNA". Rfam says of the family: Transfer RNA (tRNA) molecules are approximately 80 nucleotides in length. The record is from Rfam. Lineage: Bacteria; Pseudomonadati; Pseudomonadota; Betaproteobacteria; Burkholderiales; Sutterellaceae.